CUGAGAUCCACAUUGCAAGUCACUAACCAGAUUCUGGACUAGGAGCAGGGAAUGAUAGAGCUUGUAGGCUAAUGCCAGUCAGCUCCUUCCCCCAAUAACAGAUAAUGACAGGACUAGUAUAGAAGUUUACUGGAACAGCUGCUAAUUGCAUGAACUGAGUCUUGUGACAAUUCUGACUUUUCCCUUUUCUGAGAAUACCAUGGUAUUGUUAUCUUCUUGGAUUUUCUUUGCUUUUCUUGAAGUUCCUAUAGCUGAUAGAUAUUUAGGGUAAGAUAAGUUAAGACUAAGGGUUUGUAGUUUUGGGAACUUAGGACACAAGGAUGUUAUGGGAUGUUUUUCUUGGGUACAUUUAGGCAUUAUUGAAAAGGGGAAUAUGGGUUAGAGGACAGUAGGAUAGCAGAAGAAAUCUUUUCCUUUUCGGGAUUUUUCUAAUCACAGCAUACAGACUAGGCCAGUGGAUCUGCUAGCCUAGGCAAUGGAUGUGUCUGCAUUUGUUCUUGCAUCUGCUUGUGUUUGACCAUUUAUCUUCACAGGCCUUGAUGAAGACCAACCUGAUUAUGACCAACCUGUUUUUUCCCUAAAGUGAGCAGAAGUCUUGCUCAGAUGGCAGAACUGUGAAAGGACUUGAAAGAAGCACUGACAUGAUGAUUGUAUUUGUAUGGAUCUUUAAGGACUGUUGAUUUGUAGCUGCACCAUUCAUGAUAACUUCCUUAGCAACGAGGACGGACACUGCGGUUCAAACGACAGUGACAAGGCCCAUAUUAGACCUUUAGGUGCUUUUGGAGCAAACAAUCGGUGCUAUGGUGUUAAAGCAUCAAGAAAGGGCCGAGGUCAUCUGUUGUGGAACAACAGAACCGCUAAGGCACUUCCCACUGGUGUGUUCCUUAUUUGUGGUGAUAGAGCCUGGCAAGGCAUACCAAAGAACGUUUAUGGAGGUCCAUGUUAUCUGGGUAAACUGACAAUGUUUGCCCCUCAUCUUAGUCAGCUCAGGGACCUAGCCCGACGCCGGCCUAAGCGAUCUCUAAAAUUGAGUCCUAAUUGCAAUGACAACGUUCAAUUGUUAUCCACAGCUGCUCGUGUUGCCUUAGCUGUAUUUCUACCAGGAGGAGCAGCUGGAAAAGCAUUAGUACAGCUAGAGAGACUCACGUGUUGGUCAGCAAAACAAGCCAAUGUCACCACAAAGGUUUUAGGACAACUAUUGGUUGAUCAAAAUAGCCUUCGUCAUGCCCUAUUGCAAAAUCGAGCAACCGUUGAUUUUCCUUUGCUAGCCCAAGGACACGGCUGCCAGGACUUUGAAGGGAUGUGUUGUCUGAAUUUAUCAGAUCAUGGUGAGUCCAUUCACAAGAGUAUAACCUGGUAGAAAGGCCGUAUUGACAAGAUCAAAAAGGAAACAUCGACUUUUGAUGACUGGUUGCAGAACCUGUUUGGGACAAUCCCGGGGUGGUUAAGCAGCUUAUUAGGAGAAGGCUUACGGCUAUUUGUCAUUUUCAUAAUAAUUCUGCUAUGCGCUUGUAUUGUCUUUGCUUGCAUUAAGAAGAGCUUAACUAAGGUAGUUAGCCAGGUGUGGGUUGCUCAAAAGAAAAAGAGGGAAUUGUGGAAGAAUUUCUCGCCAGUCGAGGACAUAAAGUCAUAAACAUGGGUAACUGGCGCUGAGAACGUCCUUGGUUCCCAGCGAGGCUAGGAAAUCGAGAUGUAAACAACUGAGCACCCCACACACAGCUGCAGUGGGCAGAGACUAGAUAACCAAGGGGGCUGGAGUGGGUGGUCUGGGAGGCUGACCCUUAGAAUGUUGUGAUAAGUUAACCUAUGCACACCUUACAUGUAACUCUGGACCCUCUGACUGUAACCAAUCUUAAGCUGAGCACGCCUCUUGCUAGAAUGCAUAUAAGUCACUGUAUCACGGAAAUAAAGUGGAUUUGACCAUCUAACCA
Pogoniulus pusillus (Red-fronted tinkerbird) is the source of this 1931-nucleotide long non-coding RNA. RefSeq lists it as uncharacterized. The record is from RefSeq and is a predicted model, not a curated record. The transcript has 2 exons. NCBI's taxonomy places the organism in Eukaryota, Metazoa, Chordata, Aves, Piciformes, Lybiidae.